UCAACCUUUAGAUUCAAAGUUAGAUUCAAACGAAGAUGAGUAAAAACUGUCUGCUGAAGUUAGCUUAGCAUGCUAACUGAUACAGGUCAUGGUGGUAACCCAGCAACAGCUUCAGCUGGUGAUCGUUGGAUCUUCUGUCGUCGUGUUGAGCGACAAGUCAGACCGACGACUGCUGAGAGCUUCAGUGACACAGCAGCUCGAUGAUGAUGAUGAUGAUGACGAUGACGACGACGAUGUUUAUUGAUGAGUUUGUUUUGAUUUAAAGUUAAAGACAGUAUAAUUGUGCGGUGCAGUAACCAGGUGAAUACUUUAGUGAUAUUCUGCAGGGGGUCACUCUGAGGUAAACUAAGACUCGGUGUCCAGCAGAUCUGCAGAACUUCCAUCAUAGUUGUUUGAAGCGCGGCGGAGACGGGAGGGCAGCGAGCGAUGAUGAGCCAAGUCAGCUGACAGAAAAUAACCAGCGACAGAAAGAACUGGAUGCAGCUUUCAACCCUAAAGUUGUGCGACACAGAUCAAUGUCGUGCAGCUGUUGGUGAUUAAAGGCCCCAGUCUGGACCAGGAGGACUCAGAGUCCCUUCAUAUAAAAGAGGAACAGGAGGAGGUCUGGACCAAUCAGGAGCGAGAGCAGCGUAUUGUCUAUAGGAGGCUGGUGUGACUGCUGUUCCCAUGAAGAGUGAAGAGGAUGGAGAGGAACCUCAUUCUUCACCGUUUCAUCAAAGGUGAACUGGACAACAGAGAGGCAGAGCCUCCAGUCGGCAGCUAUGUGACAGAGAUGAAAGCAGAAACUGAUGGAGUGGACUGUAGAGGACCACGGCCAGCCAGGAACCAAGAUCCAGGUCAUCCCCCACAAGCAAAUACUGUUGACAAGGCUUCAGACUCUGAGACCGAUUUCACUUACGAAGACUGGCAAGAACCUUUGUCAGAAUCUGGAACUGAAGCUGAAGACGAGGACAAUGACUGGGAAGAAACCAGGACUCCUGAGUCAGGUGUCAGUGAUCUGAGGCAAAGACAAAACCAGAAGACCAGUCUGAUGACAGAGGAGCAAGUCCAGAAAGGACGAAAAACAUUUGGUUGUGACGUGUGUGGGAAAAGAUUCACAACACAGGGAAGUCUGAAGGUACACAUGAGAGUCCACACAGGAGAGAAACCAUUUGGUUGUGAUGUCUGUGGGAAAAGAUUUAGUCAAAAACCGAAUCUAAAUAGGCACCUCAGCAUCCACACCGGAGAGAAACCAUUUGGUUGUGAUGUCUGUGGGAAAAGACUUAGUCAAAAACAACAUCUGAAGACGCACAUGAGAGUCCACACAGGAGAGAAACCAUUUGGUUGUGAUGUCUGUGGGAAAAGAUUUAGUCAAAAACCGAAUCUAAAGAGACACCUCAGCAUCCACACAGGAGAGAAACCAUUUGGUUUUGAUGACUGUGGAAAAAUAUUUUUUUAGAAAUUAACUUUGAAGACAGACACAAAAAAAUUACGACAUUUUAAUGAAAAGUUUUGAUGAUGAAAAAUUGCAUUAGUUUGUUAGAACCACGGCACGUUCAGUUGUCGUUUAUCGUUUCAUCAUAACUUCUUCUUUUCUUUCUCUUUUGUGUAUUUUAAAAUGUGUGAUUAAAUCUUUUCUUGGCUGUUUA
Acanthopagrus latus (yellowfin seabream) is the source of this 1628-nucleotide long non-coding RNA. RefSeq lists it as uncharacterized. The transcript has 2 exons. The record is from RefSeq and is a predicted model, not a curated record. Lineage: Eukaryota; Metazoa; Chordata; Actinopteri; Spariformes; Sparidae.